GGGGGGGCAAGCGUUUGUUCGGAAUUACUGGGCGUAAAGGGCGUGUAGGCGGUCCCGCAAGUCUUUCGUGAAAUCCCACAGCUCAACUGUGGAACUGCGAGGGAAACUGCAGGACUUGAGUCCGGGAGAGGAGAGUGGAAUUCCCAGUGUAGCGGUGAAAUGCGUAGAUAUUGGGAGGAACACCGGUGGCGAAGGCGGCUCUCUGGACCGGUACUGACGCUGAGGCGCGAAAGCUAGGGGAGCAAACGGGAUUAGAUACCCCGGGUAGUCCUAGCCUUAAACGAUGAGCACUUGGUGUGGCGGGUAUCGACCCUCUGCCGUGCCGAAGCUAACGCAUUAAGCGCUCCGCCUGGGGAGUACGGUCGCAAGGCUG
RNAcentral lists this ribosomal RNA (373 nucleotides) under uncultured organism. RNAcentral describes it as "partial 16S ribosomal RNA". It matches the Rfam family "Bacterial small subunit ribosomal RNA", at positions 528 to 896 of the family's 1533-position model. The record is from RNAcentral.